Molecule: ribosomal RNA, 468 nt
Filed under: uncultured bacterium
Lineage: Bacteria
Description: partial 16S ribosomal RNA
Rfam family: Bacterial small subunit ribosomal RNA
Source: RNAcentral
GACGAACGCUGGCGGCGUGCUUAACACAUGCAAGUCGAACGGAAAGGCCCUGCUUUUGUGGGGUGCUCGAGUGGCGAACGGGUGUGUAACACGUGAGUAACCUGCCCUUGACUUUGGGAUAACUUCAGGAAACUGGGGCUAAUACCGGAUAGGAGCUCCUGCUGCAUGGUGGGGGUUGGAAAGUUUCGGCGGUUGGGGAUGGACUCGCGGCUUAUCAGCUUGUUGGGGGGGUAGUGGCUUACCAAGGCUUUGACGGGUAGCCGGCAUGAGAGGGUGACCGGCCACAUUGGGACUGAGAUACGGCCCAGACUCCUACGGGAGGCAGCAGUGGAGAACAUUGCACAAUGGGCGGAAGCCUGAUGCAGCAACGCCGCGUGCGGGAUGACGGCCUUCGGGUUGUAAACCGCUUUCGCCUGUGACGAAGCGUGAGUGACGGUAAUGGGUAAAGAAGCACCGGCUAACUACGUG